UGGGCCUAAAGCAUCCGUAGCCGGUUGCAUAAGUUUUCGGUUAAAUCUAUGCGCUUAACGUAUAGGCCGCCGAAAAUACUGUGCAGCUAGGGAGUGGGAGAGGUACACGGUACUCGAUAGGAAGGGGUAAAAUCCUUUGAUCUAUUGAUGACCACCUGUGGCGAAGGCGGUGUACCAGAACACGUUCGACGGUGAGGGAUGAAAGCUGGGGGAGCAAACCGGAUUAGAUACCCGGGUAGUCCCAGCUGUAAACGAUGCAGACUCGGUGAUGCAUUGGCUUGUGGCCAAUGCAGUGCCGCAGGGAAGCCGUUAAGUCUGCCGCCUGGGAAGUACGUACGCAAGUAUGAAACUUAAAGGAAUUGGCGGGGGAGCACA
RNAcentral lists this ribosomal RNA (375 nucleotides) under uncultured Nitrososphaerota archaeon. Its description in RNAcentral is "bacterial SSU rRNA". It matches the Rfam family "Archaeal small subunit ribosomal RNA", at positions 505 to 880 of the family's 1478-position model. The record is from RNAcentral. Lineage: Archaea; Thermoproteati; Nitrososphaerota.